RNAcentral lists this non-coding RNA (20 nucleotides) under Rattus norvegicus (Norway rat). The record is from RNAcentral. Lineage: Eukaryota; Metazoa; Chordata; Mammalia; Rodentia; Muridae.
UGGAAAGUGACUAUUUCUGC